CUCAGAAAAAGUAGCUGCAUUGACAGAGAUGACAGCCAGAUUGACUUGCGUCCUUCUCCACGGUACAGUAGGUGUUCACCAUUACAAGACCAUUGUGGUGUGAAACCCUCAGAAACAGAAGAAUGUACCUCACAUUUAAUGGUAGAAUCUACUAGGAUAGAUGCUGGUGUCCUUGAUGGCUCAUCUACUUCAUGUGUUGAUGGGGCAACCAAUGGAGCAAGGAAACGUAAGCGUAAGAGUCGAUGGGAUCAAGAGG
This 256-nucleotide unclassified non-coding RNA is filed under the name Hevea brasiliensis (rubber tree). Lineage: Eukaryota; Viridiplantae; Streptophyta; Magnoliopsida; Malpighiales; Euphorbiaceae. The record is from RNAcentral.